RNAcentral lists this ribosomal RNA (530 nucleotides) under uncultured bacterium. RNAcentral describes it as "partial 16S ribosomal RNA". It matches the Rfam family "Bacterial small subunit ribosomal RNA", at positions 29 to 304 of the family's 1533-position model. The record is from RNAcentral.
AAUGAACGCUGGCCCUAGGCCUAACACAUGCAAGUCGAACGCCUUUGAAGAGAGGAGUGGCAAACGGGUGAGUAAUGCGCUGGAAUCUACCCUCUAGGCCGCCACAAAAUAGCGGAUAGGGCAUUUUUUAUCUUUCUAGCUUUCUUUUCUUUAUCUUCCACAAACAGGGCGUAACAAAUCUAAAAGACUACGAUUUGUCGCAGCGCAGCAAAGCCAAGUAAAGAAGGAAAAGGUUGUUUUGCCUGCUCAUGGUGCUGAGUAAGUUUUAUGAUUUUUACCACUUUCUUAACAAAGAUUUUUUAUAAAUCAUAGACCCACAACUCAUUAUCCAAGUUAUACUGUAAAAGUUGGGUCUUUACUGCAAAACUGCAGAAAACUAAAACUACGCAAAAGCAGGGGAAAGCAUAAGAUUAGAAAAAAACGUCCAAAAGGCAAAGAGCCCCUUUAGGAUGAGCCGGCGUAGGAUUAGGUAGUUGGUAAGUUAAUAGCUCUACCAAGCCAGAGAUCCUUAGCUGGUCUGAGAGGACGAU